Molecule: ribosomal RNA, 252 nt
Filed under: uncultured bacterium
Lineage: Bacteria
Description: partial 16S ribosomal RNA
Rfam family: Bacterial small subunit ribosomal RNA
Source: RNAcentral
UACGGGGGGGCAAGCGUUGUUCGGAAUUACUGGGCGUAAAGGGCUCGUAGGCGGCCAACUAAGUCUGAUGUGAAAUCCCCAGGCUUAACCUGGGAACUGCAUCCGAUACUGGAUGGCUUGAAUCCGGGAGAGGGAUGCAGAAUUCCAGGUGUAGCGGUGAAAUGCGUAGAUAUCUGGAGGAAUACCGGUGGCGAAGGCGGCAUCCUGGACCGGCAUUGACGCUGAGGCGCGAAAGCCAGGGGAGCAAACGGG